RNAcentral lists this non-coding RNA (111 nucleotides) under Afipia sp. RNAcentral describes it as "TPP sequence". It matches the Rfam family "TPP riboswitch aptamer (THI element)". Rfam says of the family: Vitamin B(1) in its active form thiamin pyrophosphate (TPP) is an essential coenzyme that is synthesised by coupling of pyrimidine and thiazole moieties in bacteria. The previously detected thiamin-regulatory element, thi box was extended, resulting in a new, highly conserved RNA secondary structure, the THI element, which is widely distributed in eubacteria and also occurs in some archaea. The record is from RNAcentral. Lineage: Bacteria; Pseudomonadati; Pseudomonadota; Alphaproteobacteria; Hyphomicrobiales; Nitrobacteraceae.
AGCAGUUCCGAGGGGGGCUCCGGUGUGGAGCUGAGAUACCGCAGUGGGUGCGGUGACCCUUUGAACCUGAUCCGGGUCAUGCCGGCGAAGGGACAGGGAUGCAUCAGAAUU